RNAcentral lists this ribosomal RNA (509 nucleotides) under Iconella tenera. Its description in RNAcentral is "eukaryotic LSU rRNA". It matches the Rfam family "Eukaryotic large subunit ribosomal RNA", at positions 40 to 572 of the family's 3401-position model. Lineage: Eukaryota; Bacillariophyta; Bacillariophyceae; Surirellales; Surirellaceae. The record is from RNAcentral.
AUAUAAUUAAGCGGAGGAAAAGAAACUAACCAGGAUUGGAAUAGUAACGGCGAGUGAAGUUCCAAUAGCCCAGUAUGUGAAUCGUCACUUGUGUCGAAUUGUGGAAUGUUGGUUGAUUCGUUCAACUUGUAGGCCAAGUCCCCUGGAAUGGGGCAGCAGAGAGGGUGAUACUCCCGUGUGUCUUCAAGUGUGAGUUUCAACGUCGGAGUCGAGUUGUUUGGGAUUGCAGCUCCAAGCAGGUGGUAAAUUCCAUCUAAGGCUAAAUACUGGUGAGAGACCGAUAGCAUACAAGUACCGUGAGGGAAAGAUGCAAAGCCGCGCGAGAGCGCUGUCAAAGAGUACCUGAAGUUGCUGAAAAGGAAGCGAAGGAAACCAGUGUGAACCAACCCGCACUUCCCCAAUUGCUUGCAUUUGGGGCGCUGCGGCUGGUGUUGUUUUGGAAUUCGAUGGGCAUUGGAAUCUCUUUUGACUGUGCCUGUUGUGUUGUAAGACGAAAUGGUUUUCUUUUU